CAAUUAUUCUCUCAGAAUAACACACAUUUGACAAUUGAAGAAUUCAGUCGAUUCGUUGUCUUGCUUGUGCUUAUUGUUUGUAUGCAGCGCGUUUCUAUAUUUUUUCCUUUUUAAUGACAUUAAAUGAUGAAAGAAAUUUUUUGUCAGAAGACAAAAUUGAAGAAGACGAAAAAGUGACACGAAAGUGGUGGUGUUGUGUUUUUUUUGCAAGAUCAUUAAUAUUUAUUUUUUAGCAUUAUUUGUGUAAUAUUUGCAAAUGUGGCAAGUGUACAGUGUGCAUUAAAUAAAAUAAAUCAGAAGUUGCAAAAUUUAUUUCCUAUUCAAACUUUAUGCGUUCGUUGCGGCUGAUGACGCCUUCGGGACCAGGUGCAAAUUAAUAAAUUCAAAGAUAAACGUUGUACGCGAUUUUGUUAUCUAAUUUAUGUUCAAACGUUGCCUUAACCAAUAAGCAAUCCUCAAGUGGUCGAUCGGAACUCGGGCCGCGAUUAUUAUUUUAAAGCGACUGCGCGUAGUUAGAAUUUCUUGUGACCUCAUCAUGUGCCACCAACGUCAACGGACAAUUUAAAAUUUGUUUCGUUUUCAGAUUUUUCGUCGUUCAAUGUUUAUUUUUCCGCAUUUCUUACUUUUCGGUUGAGUUUGCAGUACAAAAUUAUUCAUAAUCGGAACGGAACCAGAAUUCAAAUAAAAAACACUGCAAAACUCAUAGAAAUACAAACAGGCAGGCAGGCAGAUAGUAAGAAAGACAGACAGGCGUGAUAGCAAAGCUCACCUGGGGUAUAACAAGUACGAAAAGUAACAACAACAACAACAAAAAAAAACAACAUCGGCAAUAGCUACACAGCAAUCACAAAGUACGAAAAAGCCUUUAAAAAAAGUACACAAAGAUACUUUUAUUUAUUUAAAAAUUAAAAUAACAACAAAAACAACAA
Long non-coding RNA from Teleopsis dalmanni, 929 nucleotides. RefSeq lists it as uncharacterized. NCBI's taxonomy places the organism in Eukaryota, Metazoa, Arthropoda, Insecta, Diptera, Diopsidae. The record is from RefSeq and is a predicted model, not a curated record. The transcript has 3 exons.